RNAcentral lists this transfer RNA (59 nucleotides) under Haematoloechus sp. CW13H. RNAcentral's name for it is "tRNA-Tyr". Lineage: Eukaryota; Metazoa; Platyhelminthes; Trematoda; Plagiorchiida; Haematoloechidae. The record is from RNAcentral.
ACUGGUUUAGUAUAAUAUAGUACGUAGGAUUGUAAAUCUUAGGGUGGAUUAAAUUUGUU